UAGAGGCAGCGGAGACAGGAAUGGAGCCAAGGCGGCGGAGACAGGAGGCAGGAGCGGAGACA
Molecule: small RNA, 62 nt
Filed under: Myotis lucifugus (little brown bat)
Lineage: Eukaryota; Metazoa; Chordata; Mammalia; Chiroptera; Vespertilionidae
Description: GRIK4 3 prime UTR element (ENSMLUG00000024526.1)
Source: RNAcentral